Molecule: ribosomal RNA, 520 nt
Filed under: uncultured Glomus
Lineage: Eukaryota; Fungi; Glomeromycota; Glomeromycetes; Glomerales; Glomeraceae
Description: SSU rRNA
Rfam family: Eukaryotic small subunit ribosomal RNA
Source: RNAcentral
AGCAGCCGCGGUAAUUCCAGCUCCAAUAGCGUAUAUUAAAGUUGCUGCAGUUAAAAAGCUCGUAGUUGAAUUUCGGGACCAUCAUGUCGGUCGUGCCUCGGUACGUACUGGUAUUGUUGGUUUCUCCCUUCUGACGAACCAUGAUGUCAUUUAUUUGGUGUUGUGGGGAAUCAGGACUGUUACUUUGAAAAAAUUAGAGUGUUUAAAGCAGGCUCACGCUUGAAUACAUUAGCAUGGAAUAAUGAAAUAGGACGUUUGAUUCUAUUUUGUUGGUUUCUAGGAUCGACGUAAUGAUUAAUAGGGAUAGUUGGGGGCAUUAGUAUUCAAUUGUCAGAGGUGAAAUUCUUGGAUUUAUUGAAGGCUAACUACUGCGAAAGCAUUUGCCGAGGAUGUUUUCAUUAAUCAAGAACGAAAGUUAGGGGAUCGAAGACGAUCAGAUACCGUCGUAGUCUUAACCAUAAACUAUGCCGACUAGGGACCGGAUGAUGUUAAUUUUUAAUGACUCAUUCGGCGCCUUAAC